RNAcentral lists this ribosomal RNA (345 nucleotides) under Triticum aestivum (bread wheat). RNAcentral describes it as "partial small subunit ribosomal RNA". Lineage: Eukaryota; Viridiplantae; Streptophyta; Magnoliopsida; Poales; Poaceae. The record is from RNAcentral.
AUGAUCUCGUCAACCCUCAGGAUCAUCUCCGCAGCCUCGGUCGCCGACAGGACGAUGGCCUGCUUCACCUUGAACGCCUCGCAGAUGCCACGCUUCUGCAUGUCUCCCAGCUGCACAACAGGGGACCAUGUUAGUUCCAAACUCCCUCAGGUACAGGUUCAGAUACAAAAUCAUUGUCACGAUGAGCUUACCCCGCCGCUGAUGACGUCGAUUCCAACAGUGCUGUUCUCCUUGUGGUGCUCGGCUCGGAGCUGGGAGAUCAGCUCGGCACUAUCCAGACCAGCAUUGUCAGCUAUGAUUGUUGGGAUGGCUUGCAGGGCACGCGAAAAAGCAUCAAUAGCAUGA